Molecule: ribosomal RNA, 466 nt
Filed under: uncultured bacterium
Lineage: Bacteria
Description: partial 16S ribosomal RNA
Rfam family: Bacterial small subunit ribosomal RNA
Source: RNAcentral
CUACGGGUGGCUCCAGUCGAGAAUAGUCUACAAUGGACGAAAGUCUGAUAGUGCGACGCCGCGUGGAUGAAGAAGCAUUUCGGUGUGUAAAGUCCUUUUCUGUGUGAGCAAUGUUUUCCAGGUUAAUAGCUUGGAGAAAGCGAUAUUAACACAGGAAUAAGCUCCGGCUAACUCCGUGCCAGCAGCCGCGGUAACACGGGGGGAGCAAGCGUUGUCCGGAAUUACUAGGCGUAAAGGGUAUGUAGGCGGAAUUGUAAGUCAGAUGUUAAAGGCACCGGCUCAACCGGUGUAUGGCAUUUGAUACUGUAAUUCUAGAGUAAGGUGGGGGAAGACGGAAUUCCUGGUGUAGCGGUGGAAUGCGCAGAUAUCAGGAGGAACACCAGAGGCGCAGGCGGUCUUCUAUACCAUUACUGACGCUCAAUUACGAAGGUGUGGGUAUCAAACAGGAUUAGAUACCCUUGUAGUC